UAAGCAUAUCAAUAAGCGGAGGAAAAGAAACCAACAGGGAUUGCCCCAGUAACGGCGAGUGAAGCGGCAACAGCUCAAAUUUGAAAUCUGGCCCCCAGGGUCCGAGUUGUAAUUUGCAGAGGAUGCUUUUGGCAAGGUGCCUUCCGAGUUCCCUGGAACGGGACGCCAUAGAGGGUGAGAGCCCCGUCUGGUUGGAUACCGAGCCUCUGUAAAGCUCCUUCGACGAGUCGAGUAGUUUGGGAAUGCUGCUCUAAAUGGGAGGUAUAUGUCUUCUAAAGCUAAAUAUUGGCCAGAGACCGAUAGCGCACAAGUAGAGUGAUCGAAAGAUGAAAAGCACUUUGAAAAGAGGGUUAAAUAGUACGUGAAAUUGUUGAAAGGGAAGCGCUCAUGACCAGACUUGGGCCCGGUGAAUCAUCCAGCGCUCGUCGCUGGUGCACUUUGCCGGGCUCAGGCCAGCAUCAGUUCGCUCCGGGGGACAAAGGCUCUGGGAAUGUGGCUCCUCCGGGAGUGUUAUAGCCCACUGCGCAAUACCCUGGGGCGGACUGAGGUUCGCGCAUUCGUGCAAGGAUGCUGGCGUAAUGGUCAUCAGUGACCCGUCUUGAAACACGGACCAAGGAGUCGUCUUCGUAUGCAAGUGUUCGGGUGUAAAACCCCUACGCGUAAUGAAAGUGAACGCAGGUGAGAGCUUCGGCGCAUCAUCGACCGAUCCUGAUGUUCUCGGAUGGAUUUGAGUAAGAGCAUACGGGGCCGGACCCGAAAGAAGGUGAACUAUGCCUGUAUAGGGUGAAGCCAGAGGAAACUCUGGUGGAGGCUCGCAGCGGUUCUGACGUGCAAAUCGAUCGUCAAAUAUGGGCAUGGGGGCGAAAGACUAAUCGAACCUUCUAGUAGCUGGUUUCCGCCGAAGU
RNAcentral lists this ribosomal RNA (905 nucleotides) under Keithomyces carneus. RNAcentral describes it as "partial large subunit ribosomal RNA". It matches the Rfam family "Eukaryotic large subunit ribosomal RNA", at positions 35 to 967 of the family's 3401-position model. Lineage: Eukaryota; Fungi; Ascomycota; Sordariomycetes; Hypocreales; Clavicipitaceae. The record is from RNAcentral.